GACGAACGCUGGCGGCGUGCUUAACACAUGCAAGUCGAACGAGAAUCUGUGGAUCGAGGAUUCGUCCAAGUGAAGCAGAGGACAGUGGCGGACGGGUGAGUAACGCGUGAGGAACCUGCCUUUCAGAGGGGGACAACAGUUGGAAACGACUGCUAAUACCGCAUGAUACAUUUGGGUGGCAUCAUCUGAAUGUCAAAGAUUUAUCGCUGAAAGAUGGCCUCGCGUCUGAUUAGCUGGUUGGUGAGGUAACGGCCCACCAAGCCGACGAUCAGUAGCCGGUCUGAGAGGAUGAACGGCCACACUGGAACUGAGACACGGUCCAGACUCCUACGGGAGGCAGCAGUGGGGAAUCUUCCGCAAUGGGCGAAAGCCUGACGGAGCAACGCCGCGUGAGUGAUGACGGCUCGGUUGUAAG
RNAcentral lists this ribosomal RNA (415 nucleotides) under uncultured bacterium. RNAcentral describes it as "bacterial SSU rRNA". It matches the Rfam family "Bacterial small subunit ribosomal RNA", at positions 28 to 429 of the family's 1533-position model. The record is from RNAcentral.